This 662-nucleotide small RNA is filed under the name Arabidopsis thaliana (thale cress). RNAcentral's name for it is "ATSL022910". The record is from RNAcentral. Lineage: Eukaryota; Viridiplantae; Streptophyta; Magnoliopsida; Brassicales; Brassicaceae.
UUUUUCCAAAAUGUUUAGUAAGUUACAUAAUCAUAUUAUUCCACUUCUGGUCCUCGUUAGGAUGGCCGAGUAGUCUAAGACUAUCUACAAUGAUUACCUAUUUAUAACACCCACUUUUUCACUUUUAACACUCCACAUUAUUUUCUCUCUCUUCCACAUCAUUAUUCAACACCUACAUAAUUUUUAAUCUUACAAUAGUUUUGUUUAAUAAAAUUACAACACCUUACCCCACCAUUUUUAUUUCAUAUUUUAACCUAUACAUUAUUUUUGGGUCUAAAAAUGGUUUUUUCUGUAUUUAAAUCAAAUGAAAAUAGUCUCUGUUUAUAGAGAAUGAAAAUUUAUAAAAUUUUAUAUAAAUUAUAUAUAUAUAAAUAUAUAUAAAUAUUAUGAAAUAAUUGAAGUUAUAUAAUUAAGAUGAAACAAAAAUAUUAGAAAUCAAAGCAACCAAUCAAAAUAUAACACUUGUCACACUUAUCUUCUCCCUUCUACUUUCACGGAUGUUAAAAUUUAUCAACACUAAAUUUGCCACAUCAGCUACUUUUCAAUUACAAAAUACCAUUAUAGUGGAAUUUGUUUUUUCACCAGUUGUAAAAUGGUUUACAACAAACCAUUGUAACUAGUCUAAGGCGCUAGAGUCAAGUUCUGGUCCUCGUAAGAGGGCG